GAUUAACGCUAGCGGCAGGCAUAAUACAUGCAAGUUGAACGGCAGCACAGGUAGCAAUACUGGGUGGCGAGUGGCGCACGGGUGCGUAACACGUAUGCAACCUACCCUAUACAGGCGAAUAACCUUUAGAAAUGAGGGCUAAUACGCCGUAGUAUUACAGAUGGGCAUCUAUUUGUAAUUAAAGAUUUAUCGGUAUAGGAUGGGCAUGCGUCCCAUUAGUUAGUUGGUAAGGUAACGGCUUACCAAGACGAUGAUGGGUAGGGGAUCUGAGAGGACUUACCCCCACACUGGUACUGAGACACGGACCAGACGCCUACGGGAGGCAGCAGUAAGGAAUAUUGGGCAAUGGCCGCGAGGCUGACCCAGCCAUGCCGCGUGCAGGAAGACGGCCUUAUGGGUUGUAAACUGCUUUUAUACGGGAAGAAUAGAGUGUACGCGUACAUUUAUGCAAGUAUCGUAUGAAUAAGCAUCGGCUAACUCCGUG
RNAcentral lists this ribosomal RNA (484 nucleotides) under uncultured bacterium. RNAcentral describes it as "partial 16S ribosomal RNA". It matches the Rfam family "Bacterial small subunit ribosomal RNA", at positions 28 to 507 of the family's 1533-position model. The record is from RNAcentral.